AAGAAUUGAAGCUUCGGCAGAAAUUCAUUUCGGAUUAGUGGCAGACGGGUGAGUAACGCGUGAGCAACCUACCUCUUACAAAGGGAUAGCCUCGGGAAACCGGGAUUAAUACCAUAUAACAUUGCGACGAAGCAUUUCGAUGCAAUCAAAGCUACGGCGGUAAGAGAUGGGCUCGCGUCCCAUUAACCAGAUGGUGAGGUAACGGCUCACCAUAGUAACGAUGGGUAACCGGCCUGAGAGGGUGAACGGUCACACUGGAACUGAGACACGGUCCAGACUCCUACGGGAGGCAGCAGUGGGGAAUAUUGCACAAUGGAGGGAACUCUGAUGCAGCGCCGCCGCGUGAGUGAUGAAGGAAUUCGUUUCGUAAAACUCUGUUCUAUGGGAAGAAAAGGACUGUACCAUAGGAGAAAGCUCCGGCUAAAUACGUGCCAGCAGCCGCGGUAAUACGUAUGGAGCGAGCGUUGUCCGGAAUUAUUGGGCGUAAAGGGUGCGCAGGC
Molecule: ribosomal RNA, 500 nt
Filed under: uncultured bacterium
Lineage: Bacteria
Description: bacterial SSU rRNA
Rfam family: Bacterial small subunit ribosomal RNA
Source: RNAcentral